This is a long non-coding RNA of Cryptotermes secundus, 737 nucleotides long. RefSeq lists it as uncharacterized. The record is from RefSeq and is a predicted model, not a curated record. Lineage: Eukaryota; Metazoa; Arthropoda; Insecta; Blattodea; Kalotermitidae. The transcript is spliced from 3 exons.
UUUCACAGAUGGCAGAAUGAUGCAUCUCUAUCGUAAUGCAGUGCUAAUAGAUAUGUAAGAAAAGUAAAAAGAGAUUUGAGACCCUCACAUCAGUAACUAUGGAGAAUGCUAUCUCCUGGAAUCUGACACUGUGUAGUCUGGAAGAAGUUUAUCAGCAUUUUGAAGGAAGGCUGAAUAGGUAUCUCUGCAUGAUAUAAAAUAUAAACCUGAUUAUGAUCUAGGGCUUUUCCUCGAGAUAUUGGAAUAUUAAAGUGAAUGACUGAUAUGAAUAUAAAGUCAUGAUGAAAUUAUUUGGAGAACGCUGAGCACAAAUUCUUGGAAAGAUCAUAAGUUUUCAAGGCAGUCACAAUGAAGGCAAGUACUUUCUAUGAUGUGAUGUCAUGCAGUUUGGUAGAAUGUUAACAAUAUUUUUGAGUAAUAUGGUACCUCUAUGUUAGCUUUCCUGAUUUGUGGUUUUCCGAUCUUUAGACAUGGUGUAGCGUGGCCUGUCCAUAGAGUAUUGCUAGCAACAUCUGAAGUUCUGAAUGUGGUAACUAUGAAAAUUACUGCUUUCUGGGAUAUGUCACUGUGGAGUCUGAAAGAAGAGUGCCAAUGUUUCGAAAGAACAAAGCUCCUCCAACACACUGGAAACCUACCAGACUAUAUCCCAGAAGAAAGUAAUAUUUUCAUUCUUGUUUGUUUUCAUAAUUUUUUUUAAACUGAAAUAUAUAAAUGGAUGACAUUUUAUAAAAGUGUAC